UACGUAGGUGGCAAGCGUUGUCCGGAAUUAUUGGGCGUAAAGCGCGCGUAGGCGGCAACGUAAGUCUGAUGUGAAAGCCCCCGGCUCAACCGGGGAGGGCGAUUGGAAACUGCGAGACUUGAGUGUAGGAGAGGAAAGUGGAAUUCCACGUGUAGCGGUGAAAUGCGUAGAGAUGUGGAGGAACACCAGUGGCGAAGGCGACUCUUUGGCCUAUAACUGACGCUGAGGCGCGAAAGCGUGGGGAGCAAACAGG
This 253-nucleotide unclassified non-coding RNA is filed under the name uncultured Caryophanales bacterium. Its description in RNAcentral is "uncultured Bacillales bacterium contains 16S-23S intergenic spacer region". It matches the Rfam family "Bacterial small subunit ribosomal RNA", at positions 524 to 776 of the family's 1533-position model. The record is from RNAcentral. Lineage: Bacteria; Bacillati; Bacillota; Bacilli; Caryophanales.